CCUACGGGAGGCAGCAGUGGGGAAUAUUGCACAAUGGGGGAAACCCUGAUGCAGCGACGCCGCGUGAGUGAAGAAGUAUCUCGGUACGUAAAGCUCUAUCAGCAGGGAAGAAAAUGACAGUACCUGACUAAGAAGCCCCGGCUAACUACGUGCCAGAAGCCGCGGUAAUACGUAGGGGGCAAGCGUUAGCCGGAUUUACUGGGUGUAAAGGGAGCGUAAACGGCAGCACAAGUCUGGAGUGAAAGCCCGGGGCUUAACCCCGGAACUGCUUUGGAAACUGUGCGGCUGGAGUGCAGGAGGGGUAAGCGGAAUUCCUAGUGUAGCGGUGAAAUGCGUAGAUAUUAGGAGGAACACCGGUGGCGAAGGCGGCUUACUGGACUGUAACUGACGUUGAGGCUCGAAAGCGUGGGGAGCAAACAGGAUUAGAUACCCGGGUAGUC
Molecule: ribosomal RNA, 440 nt
Filed under: uncultured bacterium
Lineage: Bacteria
Description: partial 16S ribosomal RNA
Rfam family: Bacterial small subunit ribosomal RNA
Source: RNAcentral